UGCUCCGGCCGCCAUGGCCGCGGGAUUCGAUUAAGCCAUGCGAGUCGAAUGAAUUUAUAUUCAUGGCAUACGGCUCAGUAACACGUGGAUAACUUACCCUUAGGACUGGGAUAACUUUGGGAAACUGAAGAUAAUACCGGAUAUUAAGCUAUGCCUGCAAUGGUUUGCUUAUGAAAUGUUCUUCGCCUAAGGAUAGAUCUGCGGCUGAUUAGGUCGUUGGUGGGGUAAAGGCCCACCAAGCCGAUGAUCGGUACGGGUUGUGAGAGCAAGAGCCCGGAGAUGGAACCUGAGACAAGGUUCCAGACCCUACGGGGUGCAGCAGGCGCGAAACCUCCACAAUGUACGAAAGUGCGAUGGGGGGAUCCCAAGUGCUAUUCUUAACAGAGUAGCUUUUCAUUAGUGUAAAAAGCUUUUAGAAUAAGAGCUGGGCAAGACCGGUGCCAGCCGCCGCGGUAAUACCGGCAGCUCAAGUGGUAGCUGUUUUUAUUGGGCCUAAAGCGUUCGUAGCCGGUUUAAUAAGUCUCUGGUGAAAGCUUGUAGCUUAACUAUAAGAAUUGCUGGAGAUACUAUUAGACUUGAAGUCGGGAGAGGUUAGAGGUACUACCGGGGUAGGGGUGAAAUCCUAUAAUCCUGGGAGGACCACCUGUGGCGAAGGCGUCUAACUAGAACGAUCUUGACGGUGAGUAACGAAAGCCAGGGGCGCGAACCGGAUUAGAUACCCGGGUAGUCCUGGCCGUAAACGAUGUGGA
This 749-nucleotide ribosomal RNA is filed under the name uncultured archaeon. RNAcentral's name for it is "bacterial SSU rRNA". It matches the Rfam family "Archaeal small subunit ribosomal RNA", at positions 1 to 766 of the family's 1478-position model. The record is from RNAcentral.